CAGCCGCCGCGGUAAUACGAAGGGGGCUAGCGUUGUUCGGAUUUACUGGGCGUAAAGCGCACGUAGGCGGAUCCUUAAGUCAGAGGUGAAAUCCCAAGGCUCAACCUUGGAACUGCCUUUGAUACUGGGGAUCUCGAGUUCGGGAGAGGUGAGUGGAACUGCGAGUGUAGAGGUGAAAUUCGUAGAUAUUCGCAAGAACACCAGUGGCGAAGGCGGCUCACUGGCCCGAUACUGACGCUGAGGUGCGAAAGCGUGGGGAGCAAACAGGAUUAGAUACCCCAGUAGUCCCUGUCUCUUAUAC
RNAcentral lists this ribosomal RNA (301 nucleotides) under uncultured bacterium. RNAcentral describes it as "partial 16S ribosomal RNA". It matches the Rfam family "Bacterial small subunit ribosomal RNA", at positions 509 to 807 of the family's 1533-position model. The record is from RNAcentral.